Molecule: ribosomal RNA, 889 nt
Filed under: uncultured archaeon
Lineage: Archaea
Description: bacterial SSU rRNA
Rfam family: Archaeal small subunit ribosomal RNA
Source: RNAcentral
CCUGACUGCUAUCGGAUUGAUACUAAGCCAUGCGAGUCAUUGUAGCAAUACAAGGCAGACGGCUCAGUAACGCGUAGUCAAUCUACCCUAUGGACGGGAAUAACCUCGGGAAACUGAGAAUAAUGCCCGAUAGAACAUUAUGCCUGGAAUGGUUUAUGUUUCAAAUGAUUUAUCGCCAUAGGAUGGGACUGCGGCCUAUCAGUUUGUUGGUGAGGUAAUGGCCCACCAAGACUAUUACAGGUACGGGCUCUGAGAGGAGUAGCCCGGAGAUGGGUACUGAGACACGGACCCAGGCCCUAUGGGGCGCAGCAGGCGAGAAAACUUUGCAAUGUGCGAAAGCACGACAAGGUUAAUCCGAGUGGUUUCUGCUAAAGAAACCUUUUGUCAGUCCUAGAAACACUAACGAAUAAGGGGUGGGCAAGUUCUGGUGUCAGCCGCCGCGGUAAAACCAGCACCUCAAGUGGUCAGGAUGAUUAUUGGGCCUAAAGCAUCCGUAGCUCGUUUUGUAAGUUUUCGGUUAAAUCCAUGCGCUUAACGUAUGGGCUGCCGGGAAUACUGCAUAACUAGGAAGUGGGAGAGGUAGACGGUACUCGGGAGGAAGGGGUAAAAUCCUUUGAUCUCUUGAUGGCCACCUGUGGCGAAGGCGGUCUACCAGAACACGUUCGACGGUGAGGGAUGAAAGCUGGGGGAGCAAACCGGAUUAGAUACCCGGGUAGUCCCAGCUGUAAACUAUGCAAACUCAGUGAUGCAUUGGCUUAUGGCCAAUGCAGUGCUGCAGGGAAGCCGUUAAGUUUGCCGCCUGGGAAGUACGUACGCAAGUAUGAAACUUAAAGGAAUUGGCGGGGGAGCACACAAGGGGUGAAGCCUGCGGUUCAAUUGGAUUCAACGC